UGUGUGUGUGAGAGAGAGAGAGAGAGGUGAAAAAGAAUUACUUGAAAGAAAUGCCCUAUAUUAUUCUGAGAAACAAACGACAAAUUAGCAACAUCCAAAAUGUCCCACCUCAUGGUUUCUUGAAUAAAAGGUACCAUGACUCACCUGCUCAGUAUUGUGAAUAGGCUUAUUUCUACUUGUGAAUUUAUUUCUGAUUUGUGUUUCUAGCUAUCCCUAAACUCUACCAACUAUCAAUAGUGUUUCUUUCACAAAGCCUCCGUCAGGUUAAAAGUAAUUCAGCUCUAUUGUGUUGAGCAUAAUUGAAAUGUCAUGAACCAUCUAGAAGGCAGGAGAACCAGUUCUCUCUCGUUUCUAUUCGUGCAGUCUGUUUACUUUUCUGGUUCCUGUCACUGACGUUUGGGCUCGGCGACCUGGUGAGGAAUGCUUCCUCUGGGGUUUCGACAGGCACAGCUAUUUGUCAUGGCCUCAGAAACUGCUUGGCUACAGAAGGGAAGUGGCCUCUGAUGCUGAGGAGGAGACUGGAGAUUCUGAAUCAAGGCUUUUGCCUGGCUGAACGCAGAGCUGGGAUGAGGAGUUUCUCGUGGAGAAGAAUUUAUAGAGGGAGGAGUCAUUGUCAUUAGCACACCAUACACAUGGCAAAACAAACAUAACCGCCCACCUCCUCUCUGACUCACCUACCCAAAACAUGAUUAACCUGGAGGGGGGAGUGGCAAGUGAAGAGGGUCCUGCCUCCCUCCCUCUCCCCCCACUCCCUGUGGGUUGCUCGGUUUCCAGAGGAUCUAGAGCCUGGAGAUCUCAAGGUACAAGUUGUCUGGUAGAGUUUGUCCUUGCCUCAUGAAGCCCUUGUCAUUUGAACGGCCUAAGAGAUAGAACUUGCAACUGCUAGCAAGACUUUGCAGGUAUUUGGAAUACCCUUUGACUAAUGAGCAAUCUAAUAGGUCCAGGAUUAUCCAGGAAUCACCAAACAGUAACGUGCGUGCCAGAGGGGAGGCCCACCAUUACCCUGGGAGGCCCACCAUUAACCUGGCCUCCUCGAAGUAGACAAACCCAGAGAAAAUGAAGGUGGGGCUGGAUGGUCCCCACCCUUGGCUCAGUCUGACCCUCCUAAGGAGAGCGUUCUUACUGAAACAAUCGGAAAUAUCAUAUGGAUAGCAUUAGAAGAGGUCCUUUCUGUUCUAUACGUCUUAUAUGUCAUAGGAUAAUAGAGGGAAACCUCAGUUACUGUACCUGUGGUAGCCACAUCAAAGCAACAGUCAUUAUACCAGUCGUGGUAAAUUAACAGAGAUCCCCAUUUAGACAUUGUCUUACCCCUUUUUAUUUUUGUAUGAAGCAUUUGGCUUGUACUUUAUGUUUGAAACAUCAAUCAUAAUGCAUAGUCACAUUCAAACAUGGAUACUACCAAGGUUUUAAUAAUAACUGGCAUUUUUAUUAUGCGUAUGGCACUACGGGUGUAUCAUUUUAAAUGAUAUAUAUAGCAUUUAAGGUGUGCGGUGACUAAAAUAAUUGCUGCUGCCUCAUGUGGCCCAUAUAGGCUGUGCCAGUUUAGCAGAUGUGGUCAUUCAAUUCAUCAAAAGGUCGCCUUAAUCUGCCUGUCAGAAUCAUGGAAAUCACGUCUCAAGUGGACUUGAAAUAUCCGAAACAUUGUGCAUGAAGUAUUGAAUUCUUUCCUCCUCCUCUCUCCUCCUACCACGUCCUCCCCCCUCACACAAGCUUGGCAUCAAUCUAUGCAGUAAAGUUCCAUCCAUGGAAAGCCCCAGUAUUUGGUGGGUCUGAAUGUCGUCCCUAGCCCCAUUGCUCAGAAAUAGAAUGCAGUCCAGAAACAAGUGCCUGCUGGGACCCAUUGUAAGGAUUCUCCUUUCCUUUGGACACUCUUCAGCGGUGUCCUCCCAGGGACGAGGUUUGCUCAUUCUGGAUCCAUGGUCUCUGUCCCCUCCCCAACCUAGGCGGUGUUGAAACAGCCCUUUUCUGCCCGGAGGGAGUUGGUGAUUCAAGCAGAUCCUGGAUGAGGCUUGCUAUGGGAGCCGCCUGGAGUCCUCCAUGGUCUGUUGACUCCACCAGGGCUGGGCGUGUGGGGCCAGGAGCAGAGUGACCAGGCUGCCUCGCUCAGGCCCCUGCUGGGCCCUGGAGGAAGAGAGCUGUAACUAUCACUGGGCGACAGCCUGGUGGUUGUGAGGGAGACGCCCACACCCUGCUCUGGGCUUGGAGGACGAAUGUUUCUAGGUCAGCCGUCCAAGACGACAGCCAGAACCGGAUGGCUGCAGCCGAACUCUCCUAGUGUGUAUCUUCCUCUACUGCUCAUGGCCAAUCCCUUCGGGGCUCCUGCCUGACCAGAGGAGAGAGAGCCCUGGCUUCCAAAAGUAGCCUCACAGCCACAGGAGGACCUGCCUAGCCAUGUUCUACAUUUCCUGUGGAAAAUUUAACACUUCUCGGAAGAUUAAAGGGUACCUAACUGGAUGGGAAUUUGUGGUCUGUGAACUUCUUCCUUUCUGAAGCUCUUCUUACUCCCUACCCCCAACCCUAAGUAGACAAAAUAUUGGGCUAAAGGGCUAAAGAAUCCCGUAUAGGGAAGAACCUGCCAUCUCAUUUCUAGCCAGGCACUUUUCCCUUCUUGUAACUUUCCAGUGGCAAUGUGGGGGAUACUGUUGAAAACUCUGACACCUGGUGGCCACUUC
Long non-coding RNA from Tupaia belangeri chinensis (Chinese tree shrew), 2672 nucleotides. RefSeq lists it as uncharacterized. Lineage: Eukaryota; Metazoa; Chordata; Mammalia; Scandentia; Tupaiidae. The transcript is spliced from 3 exons. The record is from RefSeq and is a predicted model, not a curated record.